Molecule: non-coding RNA, 734 nt
Organism: Camellia sinensis
Lineage: Eukaryota; Viridiplantae; Streptophyta; Magnoliopsida; Ericales; Theaceae
Source: RefSeq, a predicted model, not a curated record
CACUAGUAUCAUGUGGGAUGUAUAUGAUGAAAUCAAAGCUAGUGGGACUCCUCAGAGUGAACACACCAAUUCAAUUCUAAUAGAUGGUCUAUGCAGACAAUCAUUGCUACAAGAAGCAGUAGCCUUCCUGCAAGAGAAUGAAGGGAAGCAUUUUGGGCUCUGUGUUGCUUCAUUCAAUACUCUCAUGUCAAGAUGCAGAGAAUAUAGAUGGAACAAUCAGUAAAACAGGGGCAAAACAGAUCGCUGGAGUUGCACUUCAUGGGAUGGUCUUCUAGGGUGAAGAAGAUCGCCGGAGUUUUGUCUGAAAGAAUGAAGGUUUCGGACCAAAACAGCGUGAGGCUUUGUGGGAUGAGAACAAGCAGUAAAGAAAAAAGAAAAACCAGUUCAACAGGAGACUUUUGCAAAAGCCGGAUCAUGUGAAUUGCAAUUUGGUCUAGUGCAUGGACCAAAUUUAUUCAGUCGAAAACAGGACCGGCCCUGGCCUAAGGCCAGUAAGGCUUGGGUCUUAGGUUUCAAAAUUUUGGCUUAAAAAUAGGGUUUUUAAAUUUGGUAAAAUAUUAUAGGCUCAAUAUUUAUUUAUUUUUUGGUUUUAUGAUCAAUUUAAAGGGCCCCAAAAUAUUUUGUUGGGUCUAUGUAUGGUUUAACCCAUACUUAUUUAUAAGUGUAGUUUUUUUUGCUUAUAUUUAUUACAAUGAAAAUAUAUAUAUAUAUAUAAAAAAUGUUUGGGCCCAAGA